UUAACUUAUUAGGUUUUGCUCAGACGACACUGCACGACAGGGUUGGGGGGUCCUCUGGCGGGCGCGCCCCGGCCGGAGCCGGGAGCCCCCGAGCACGCCCGGGAGCGGCCCGCCAAAGCAACACGCGUAGAUAACACAGGGUGGGAGGUCUACCCCGGAGGGCACGAUCUCUUUAAUGAUCCUUCCGCUGGUUCACCAACGGAAA
This 205-nucleotide unclassified non-coding RNA is filed under the name uncultured fungus. Its description in RNAcentral is "sequence contains ITS1". Lineage: Eukaryota; Fungi. The record is from RNAcentral.